AGCGAACGCUAGCGGCAGGCCUAGCACAUGCAAGUCGAACGAACUCUUCGGAGUUAGUGGCGGACGGGUGAGUAACACGUGGGAACGUGCCUUUAGGUUCGGAAUAACUCAGGGAAACUUGUGCUAAUACCGAAUGUGCCCUUCGGGGGAAAGAUUUAUCGCCUUUAGAGCGGCCCGCGUCUGAUUAGCUAGUUGGUGAGGUAAAGGCUCACCAAGGCGACGAUCAGUAGCUGGUCUGAGAGGAUGAUCAGCCACAUUGGGACUGAGACACGGCCCAAACUCCUACGGGAGGCAGCAGUGGGGAAUCUUGCGCAAUGGGCGAAAGCCUGACGCAGCCAUGCCGCGUGAAUGAUGAAGGUCUUAGGAUUGUAAAAUUCUUUCACCGGGGACGAUAAUGACGGUACCCGGAGAAGAAGCCCCGGCUAACUUCGUG
Molecule: ribosomal RNA, 433 nt
Filed under: uncultured bacterium
Lineage: Bacteria
Description: partial 16S ribosomal RNA
Rfam family: Bacterial small subunit ribosomal RNA
Source: RNAcentral